UUUUCCUUCCCAUUUCAUAACCUUAUUUUGAAUGCAACCGUUUAACCUACAGUGACUACUUUCUUCCCCACAGUAACUGAGGUCAGUAACUUCAACCAAGAAAUAUUCAUGGAGGCAUUCCCGUUGUGGCACCGUGGUUUAAGAACCCAUGAAGAUGUGGGUUCCAUUUCUGGCCUCGCUCUGUGGGUUAAGGAUCUGGCAUUGGUACAAGCAGCAGCUGCAGCUCCAAUUUGACCACUAGCCUAGAAUUUCCACAUAGGCAUAUGUGGCCAUAAAAGGAGGGAGAGAGGGAGGGAGGGAGAGAGAGAGGGAGAAAGGAAGGAAGGAAGGGGAAUUCGUGGAGCAACUGCUAUAUAUAGGGCAAUGUGCAGUGACGACCCAAAUGUUGAAGUUUCAAGCGAGCGGACAAAUGUGCAUACUCUAAGAGAGACAUGUCAGAUGCGGUUUGAAUCAUGUCUUGUGGGUGCGCCUCAGAGGGGUGAUUAAUUCUGAGGUCACAAGGGCCCAGUAAUAUAUUCACCAGCAAUGUGACAUUUAAAUCAGCCUUGAAGGAUGUUUUCAUUUGCUAAGGCUGCUCUAAUAAAGUACAACAGAAUGGAUGACUUAACAGCUAUUUAUUUUUUUUAUUUUUGAAUAUUUUAUGGAAGUACAGUUGAUUUACCAUGUUGUAUUAAUUUCUGCUGUACAGGAAAUGACUCAUUUAUAUGUUUAUAUACAUAUAUGUAUAUAUGUAUUCUUUUUCAUUAUGAUUUAUCACAGGUUAUUGAAUAUAGGUCUCUAUGGUCUACAGUAAGACCUUGUUUGUCCAUCCUAUAGAUGACAGUUUGCCUCUGCUGAUCCCAAAUGCUUUUAAUGUUUUUUAAAUUUAAACGUAUUUUUAAAAUUUAUUUUUUAUUGAGGUCGCAUUGGUUUAUAACAGUGCAUCAUGUUCAUUUCUAUGUCUGAACACCCUACAGUGUGCUUAUUGCCGAAAAGUUAGUUCCCGUCUGUCACCAUGUAGUUUUUCCCCUUUAUCCAUGUCAGUUCCCCCCCACCCAGCUGUUCCUCUCUGGUAACUGCUACUCUGUUCUCUGAAUCUAAAAGUUAGUUUUUGUUUGGUUUGGACAGACAUUCAUUCUCAUAGCUUUGGAGACCAGAAGUCUGAAAACCAGAGUGUCAUCAGGACAGCAGUCCCUCUGAAGCCUCUGAGAGGGGAUCUUUCCAGCUCCUCCACCUCCUGGUAGCCUGAGGCCUUCUUGGCUUGUGGCAUCACAGCUCUGAUCUCUGCCUCCCUCUGCUCAUGGCCGUCUACUCCUCUGUGUCUGUCUUCACGUGGUGUUCUCCUUCCUCUGUGUUUUCUCUUAUAAGGACACCCAUCAUACACCUGUGGGUCUCACUUUAAUUAUGACCUCAUCCUAACUUGAGUACAUCUGCAAAGCCCCCAUUGCAUUUCCACCUUAGAUUAUAUUCACAGGUUCAGGGGGCUGGGACUGCCACACAUCUCAUCAAAGUACAUAAUUCAACCCAUAGCCAUAGCCAAGGAUGUUGCCCUUUAUUCACUGAUACAUUUCUUGUUGCCUUCCUCUAUUUUUUCUCUUUCUUUUUCUUUCUUUUUUUUUUUUUUUUUUUUUUUGUACCUAUUUCUCCACAGUUGGCACCAUUUGGUCUGUUUCUGUAGGUCCCUGAUUCAGGAAGGUCUUUGUCAGUGUAUCAGUUAAAAUCACCAGGACCAAUGACGUAAAUGUCACUGGCUCAGAAGUAAUUGGACAGUGAACUAUGAACAAUUACAUGCCAACAAAUUUGACAGCCUAGAAGAAAUGGACAACUUUCUAGAGACAUACAGCCUGCCAAAACUGAAUCAAGAAGAAAUCGAUUGAACAGACCAGUCGCUAGACAUGAAUAAGUAAUAUAAAUACUCCUGGAGUUUCCUUUGUGGCACAGCAGAAAUGAAUCUGACUAGUAUCCAGUUUGAUCUGUGGUUUUGCUCAGUGGGUUAAGCAUCUGGAGUUGCUGUGAGCUGUUUUGUAGGUCACAGAUGUAUCUCAUAUUCCAUGUUGCUGUGGCAGUGGCAUAGGCCAGCAGCUCUCCGAUUUGACCCCUAGCCUGGGAACCUCCAUAUGCCGAGGGAGCGGCCCAAGAAAUGGCAAAAAGACAAUAAAUAAAUAAAUAAAAAGCAAUUCAUUUGUAUUUAGCCUGGGUGAAUCUUUAUAUGCAAUGUUGAUAAAAUUUCAGUGCUCAGCAGCUGGUUGAACUAGAUAAUCUCUAAGGUCUUAUAAUUCUUCUCUUUCUUAUCCCUGUUCUUUGUUCCCUCUGGAAUUAAACAUAUAUUCAGAAUACUUUCAGGUGUAAGACAAGUUGCAAGGGUAACACAGGGAGUUCCUUUGUAUCCACACCCAGUUCUCCCUUGUGUUAAUAUCUUACAUUGCUACAGUAUUUGUCAAAAUUAAUGAACCACUAUGCCACUAACCUUUCAAACCAUUCUUUUAGAAAAAGUUGCAACUUUGUCUUUAGUUUAAUCAAAGUAAAGCAUUUCUUUUUUUGAAAAUAACCAUUAAAAUGUCAAUGCUGAUUAUUUCUGAGAGUUUUAACUAGGCAAAGAAAUUCUGAAGAAAAAAGACUGUGUAGAAUUUACUAAAUAUGAUAUAUAUCUGAGGAGAAAACAAAAACAACAAAAAGGCAGCUGCUUCUGAAACUGUUACCAGAAUGUAACUAGAAUGAUCUUAUGUUAAAGUAAAAUGUAGAGCUGCUCUCCUCCUUUUUAUUUAUUUAUUAUUGUUUCUUUGUUAAAAAACUUUACCUCACAAAGAGAACAACAGACUUGUGGUUGCCAAAAGGGUUGAGGGAGGAAGGGGAAUGGACCUGGAAUUGGGGGUUGGUAGAUGCAAAGUAUUCCAUUUAGAAUGGAAAAGCCGUGGUGUCCUACUGUACAGCACAGGGAAUUUUAUCCAGAUCUCUUGGGAUAGAACAUGAGAUGUCUAUAUCUAUCACUAUGCUGUACAGCAGAAAUUGGCACACCAUUGUAAAUCAAUUAUACUUUCAUAAUAAAAAAUAAUAAUUAAAGAAAAACCUUCAUGGGAAAGCCAGAUUUUUUGUCUUCUUUGCGCUUAGGAUAAGGGAUCUCUUCCUACACUUACUGAGGGAGCUGAAAUAUGGAAAUUCCUUCUGCCUGACUACAGAAGCUUCCAAGACAGACUUUUGAGUGCAGUUGUUUGACCUUGAGCUUGAUCACACACUACAGGUCCUGUGACGCAGUUUACUUCAGGGCCCUUCUCUGGGCACCACUUACCAGAGAUGCCAUGAACACAUGAGGUACUUGUUACAGAAGCACAAGAGUAACUAUCUAACUUUUCCUUUUAGUGCCAUUUAUGAAUUAAGAGUUUUAGGAAUAGAAAACUCUACAAUGUGGGAUAUAAGAAAGGAUAUCAAGAAAGAUUUCAGCCUGUAAUGCAUUUAUUUUCCUAAGAAGUUGAAUUAUCACUGGAAAAGUG
Molecule: long non-coding RNA, 3467 nt
Filed under: Sus scrofa (pig)
Lineage: Eukaryota; Metazoa; Chordata; Mammalia; Artiodactyla; Suidae
Description: lncRNA (ENSSSCG00000043844.1)
Source: RNAcentral